This 204-nucleotide long non-coding RNA is filed under the name Vigna radiata. Its description in RNAcentral is "long non-coding RNA (VRAD_LNC010585)". Lineage: Eukaryota; Viridiplantae; Streptophyta; Magnoliopsida; Fabales; Fabaceae. The record is from RNAcentral.
AACAGCUUGGAGACCCUCACCAGUGGCUCCGAAAGAUUCAAAAACCCCUAGAACGACAUAAAGAACAUCCAAAACGAACGUCUGGAACUCUCAAAACGUCAAAAACAUAAAAAGCACUCAAUCUGCCUCACAUAAUUCGUCCAAUGCACCCGCCCUUAUGCACUAAGCGAAUUUUUUUUGUAGGGAAAGCCACCUCGAAAUUCG